RNAcentral lists this transfer RNA (63 nucleotides) under Scraptia sp. SCR02. RNAcentral describes it as "tRNA-Pro". Lineage: Eukaryota; Metazoa; Arthropoda; Insecta; Coleoptera; Scraptiidae. The record is from RNAcentral.
CAGGAAAUAGUUUAUUAAAAUAUUAAUUUUGGAGAUUAAAGAUAGCUAGUUAGUUUUUUCUGA